CUCCCAAUAAACAUAAUAUGAUAUUCAUCAUAGUCUGAAAGUUAUCCCAGCCCCCAAUACAGCAAUCCACAGAAAAAUAUCCCACUGACCCAGCGAAGUCCUGGUUAGCAAUGACAUCAUGGACGAGCACAAAAGGAUUGCACAUUAGCCAAUAGGAAGCUGAUUCAGCCCAAUUCCCGCCUGCUGUCUCUCUCCUGCGUUACUUUACUGGCAGACAGCCCCAUGCACCUACCUUACAGCAGAAGAAUGUUGUAAAUUUCAUAAACCACUAGUGGCCCCAGGUCAAUUGUCAUCCAGCCCUUUUUAAAUGAAAAUCGAAACCUUCUCUCUUUGGAAUCUGACUUU
Molecule: non-coding RNA, 345 nt
Organism: Pelobates cultripes (western spadefoot toad)
Lineage: Eukaryota; Metazoa; Chordata; Amphibia; Anura; Pelobatidae
Source: the annotation of a GenBank genome assembly